GAUGAAGAACGCAGCUAAAUGCGAUAAGUAAUGUGAAUUGCAGAAUUCAGUGAAUCAUCGAAUCUUUGAACGCACCUUGCGCCCUUUGGCCAUUCCGAAGGGCAUGCCUGUUUGAGUAUCAUGAACACCUCAACUCUCAUGGCUUGCCAUGAUGAGCUUGGACUUUGGGGGUCUUGCUGGCCUGCGGCCAGCUCCUCUCAAAUGAAUUAGCUUUCCAGUGUUUGGUUGGCAUCACAGGUGUGAUAACUAUCUACGCUUGUGGUUUCCACCAGGUAACCUUCAGUAACAUGGGGGUUUGCUGGAGCUCACAAAUGUCUCUCCUCAGUGGGGACAGCUCUUUGAACGUUUGAUCUCAAAUCAGGUAGGACUACCCGCUGAACUUAAGCAUAUCAAUAAGCGGAGGA
This 404-nucleotide unclassified non-coding RNA is filed under the name soil metagenome. Its description in RNAcentral is "partial contains 5.8S ribosomal RNA, internal transcribed spacer 2, and large subunit ribosomal RNA". The stretch from base 1 to 121 matches the Rfam family "5.8S ribosomal RNA", at positions 35 to 154 of the family's 154-position model. The record is from RNAcentral.